Molecule: ribosomal RNA, 235 nt
Filed under: uncultured bacterium
Lineage: Bacteria
Description: partial 16S ribosomal RNA
Rfam family: Bacterial small subunit ribosomal RNA
Source: RNAcentral
UGAGGAACAUGACCUUCGGCGGGGGAUAGCCGGCCCAACGGCCGGGUAAUACCGUGUACGACCACAUGGGGACAUCCCUGAGUGGUGAAAGCAGCAAUGCGCCGAUGGAGUGCCUCGCGGCCUAUCAGCUAGUUGGUGAGGUAACGGCUCACCAAGGCGACGACGGGUAGCUGGUCUGAGAGGAUGGCCAGCCACAUUGGGACUGAGACACCGGCCCAGACCUGUACCGGGGAGG